UUUUUCUUUUGUAGUGAUACGGAUUAAACUGAUCACAACAACUCUGGAUUUACUGUUUCUGUGGACAUUGCUUUAUUUCAUCGUUGUGGAUCUUAAAGCUAAUAAUAAGGUGCUUAUUUUAAAGUUGUAUUGUAUUUAAACGCUUUGUAAAACUGUGCCGUGGACCGUUCGACAUCUAGUCUAUUUAUUGAAAACAAUACGUUAAUGCCCCGCAGUUUAUUUAGCUACUAAAAUUUGUUCUGGAAAACACAGAAACGAAAGAAGUAGAGGAGAGCGAUGAAGAGGAGGAGGGAGGAAGAUUCACAAGCCAGUGGAUCAAAACCAGCAAAUGCGGAGAAACUUGUUAAAUGGAACAGUAUGCGUGAUCUGAAACCAGACUUCUCUCAUGAUGCAGAAAAACCUGAGAGUCAUUCUGAUGUAUCUCAAUCAAAGACGAGUGUCCUCCAGCAGAUCAUCUGAACACCAACAAGACAAACCUCUAUGAAUCUCUCACGUUUCUUCAAAUGGAGCUGCAGUAGUUCAUUGUUUCCGGGCCCGGCUCCAUCCAAUCAGGUGCUUGGUCCACACCCUGGUCCCACGCCUAAUAACAACCGGCUGCAAAAAUGCUGCACUGUUCAAUUCAGCUCCAGAUUUUGAGGGAGAUUUAGCUCUUUGGCAGCUUGGAAUGUUCAUUGGUCCCACCUUACAUCUCAAAGCUGGAGCUGACUGUAUCUUCAAAUAUAUAUGUAAAUAUUGUGUAUAUGUACAUUCUGCUUUAUAACUUUGUAUCUGCUGUACUGUAAAUUGAUGUGUAUCGCCACAGGAUGAAGUAUCAAAUGGUUGACAAAUGCUCUUCGUUAUUAAUUGUAGGCCUAUGGUUCUACACUUUAUUGUAAAACUGAUUUUUAAAUGUAGAGAAGUAUGUGUCACAGAGAGAGUCUUCACUAUAAAACAUUCUGACGACAGCUAUAAAUAAAUAGCUUAUUAUGAAAAUGUGUUAUUGCUUCACAACAUGGAUAAAGGAUGAAAUCUCUGAUAGCUGAUCAUUUCUUUAUUAAAUGAUCAUUAUCAUCAGUACAAAACCAAACUAUUUACAUUAUUCA
Molecule: long non-coding RNA, 1082 nt
Organism: Sinocyclocheilus rhinocerous
Lineage: Eukaryota; Metazoa; Chordata; Actinopteri; Cypriniformes; Cyprinidae
Exons: 4
Source: RefSeq, a predicted model, not a curated record